RNAcentral lists this ribosomal RNA (433 nucleotides) under uncultured bacterium. RNAcentral describes it as "partial 16S ribosomal RNA". It matches the Rfam family "Bacterial small subunit ribosomal RNA", at positions 29 to 507 of the family's 1533-position model. The record is from RNAcentral.
AACGAACGCUGGCGGCAUGCCUAACACAUGCAAGUCGAACGAGACCUUCGGGUCUAGUGGCGCACGGGUGCGUAACGCGUGGGAACCUGCCCUUAGGCUCGGAAUAACUCCCCGAAAGGGGUGCUAAUACCGGAUAAUGUCUUCGGACCAAAGAUUUAUCGCCUUUGGAUGGGCCCGCGUUGGAUUAGCUAGUUGGUAGGGUAAAAGCCUACCAAGGCGACGAUCCAUAGCUGGUCUGAGAGGAUGAUCAGCCACACUGGGACUGAGACACGGCCCAGACUCCUACGGGAGGCAGCAGUGGGGAAUAUUGGACAAUGGGCGGAAGCCUGAUCCAGCUAUGCCGCGUGAGUGAUGAAGGCCUUAGGGUUGUAAAGCUCUUUUACCCGGGAUGAUAAUGACAGUACCGGGAGAAUAAGCUCCGGCUAACUCCGUG